Molecule: long non-coding RNA, 227 nt
Filed under: Mytilus galloprovincialis (Mediterranean mussel)
Lineage: Eukaryota; Metazoa; Mollusca; Bivalvia; Mytilida; Mytilidae
Source: RNAcentral
UUUGAAAGAGAUAAAUUGAAUGUGUCUACACACAUGACAUUAGUAUAUGUGUAGUUCCUGCAAGUUUGCAACAAACAAUUGCCGCAAGCUUGCGGCAAAUCUAAUUUGCAUAAUUAUGUUUGCAGCAAGCUUGCCGCAAACUUCAUUUGCAUGGUAAAAUGGUUGCGGCAAUGUUUGCUGCAAACUUGCGGCAAAUGUUUGCCGCAGGGUUUAUUUUUCGGUAAGGG